Mytilus californianus (California mussel) is the source of this 1224-nucleotide long non-coding RNA. RefSeq lists it as uncharacterized. NCBI's taxonomy places the organism in Eukaryota, Metazoa, Mollusca, Bivalvia, Mytilida, Mytilidae. The record is from RefSeq and is a predicted model, not a curated record. The transcript has 3 exons.
GUUUUCGGGAUUUUUCUUCAAGCGUCUAAUUAACCAAGGUUACCUAACCUUUCCUUACAUUUGCUUUUGACAGUUAUUGAAUUUUAUUUUAAAGGAAAAUGAGGCUGCCUAGAAAGAAUGUUGUGUAUGAUAUAGCACAUAAAAGCACUGUAAUAGGAUUAGUUGGUACCAUGUUAUAUUCUAUGUCCGUAUUAGCUUUCAAAAUGUACGAGAUCUCUUAUAUUACUCCUCCAAUGAAGAAUGAGAUAAUAAAUCUGGUGAAGGAACAGGAAAUGAGAGACGCUCAGGCAUUGCACGAGAGAGAACUGAUGGGACAUUCAAAAUAAACCAUGUCAACAUCAUAGAUAGACUUUCAUAUUUGAUGGUUUCAUAUUCACAUGUGCAUUAUAAUGUUAUUUGUUGAUGGGUAAUUAAGUACCGGUAUACUGACAUGACUGAAAACAUACGAAUUUAGUUAUUUAAGUUGAUAUAUAUGUAUAUGUGAUACAUCACAAUUUAUGAAGUGAGCAAAAAAAGGUUUUAGGAAUUUGCUGAUUUAAGGGUUCUCAUUAAGGAUUUUUUUCUCAUGAGCCCAGGUACAUAUCUCUGGGAAAGUCAAGUUAAAAAAUUGAAGAAAAAACUAUAUAACAGUCUUGAUUCAUAUUUAAAAGUCUUCAGGUCAAAACAAAAUGACAAAAAAACUUAAGAUUUACAUAUUAUAUCAACUUCUGUAAUAAAACUGAGUAAACUUGAUGCAACCGAUAGAUUCUGAAUGCAUUUUUAAACUCAACUAUUCUCAAAAACCAAGUCUGAAUUUAUUUACUAUUCUAAAUAGUAUGAACCCUAUUUUUUGAGCACCAGGUUUUGUUCAGCUUCUUACUUUUCUUACUAAAUAAUUACACUUACAAUUAUCCGAAAAUAAAUCCAGUAAUGUUUUGGAGUAGCUAUUUCAGCAGUCAUGAAUAAUGAUUUGAUAUAUUCUGAUUAGCUCAAGAUUGUUUUGUGACUUUCAGAGAUUUGUGUAUGUGUAUAAUUUUUUUAUGUUGUACAUCAAAGAAACAGUUUUGAUUUUAUCAAUCAUGCAUCAUGAAUUGAUUUAUGUGUGUUCUGAAUUGCUAUAUAUCAUAUAUAAAAGACAGAUUUGUUGAUAUAUAUAAUUUCUUGAGAAGUGUGUAAAGAGGUGUGAAUGGUCAUUGAAAGUUUUUACCUAUUUAAACAUGUUUGUAAAUAAAGAAUUUUAAAUUA